Molecule: ribosomal RNA, 253 nt
Filed under: uncultured bacterium
Lineage: Bacteria
Description: partial 16S ribosomal RNA
Rfam family: Bacterial small subunit ribosomal RNA
Source: RNAcentral
GACGAGGGGUCCUAGCGUUGUUCGGAAUCAUUGGGCGUAAAGCGGGUGUAGGAGGCCUUGCAAGUCAGAAGUGAAAGCCCUGGGCUUAACCCGGGAAGUGCUUUUGAAACUGCAUGGCUUGAGUGCUGGAGAGGGCAGUAGAAUUCCUGGUGGAGUGGUGAAAUACGUAGAUACCAGGAGGAACACCGGAGGGGAUGGCGGCUGCCUGGCCGGACACUGACACUCAGACCCGAGAGUGCGGGGAUCAAACAGG